This 497-nucleotide ribosomal RNA is filed under the name uncultured bacterium. RNAcentral's name for it is "partial 16S ribosomal RNA". It matches the Rfam family "Bacterial small subunit ribosomal RNA", at positions 28 to 507 of the family's 1533-position model. The record is from RNAcentral.
GAUGAACGCUGGCGGCGUGCCUAAUACAUGCAAGUCGAGCGAACAGACGAGGAGCUUGCUCCUCUGACGUUAGCGGCGGACGGGUGAGUAACACGUGGAUAACCUACCUAUAAGACUGGGAUAACUUCGGGAAACCGGAGCUAAUACCGGAUAAUAUAUUGAACCGCAUGGUUCAAUAGUGAAAGACGGUUUUGCUGUCACUUAUAGAUGGAUCCGCGCCGCAUUAGCUAGUUGGUAAGGUAACGGCUUACCAAGGCAACGAUGCGUAGCCGACCUGAGAGGGGGAUCGGCCACACGGGAACUGAGACACGGUCCAGACGACUACGGGAGGCAGCAGUAGGGAAUCUUCCGCAAUGGGCGAAAGCCUGACGGAGCAACGCCGCGUGAGUGAUGAAGGUCUUCAGAUCGUAAAACUCUGUUAUUAGGGAAGAACAAAUGUGUAAGUAACUAUGCACGUCUUGACGGUACCUAAUCAGAAAGCCACGGCUAACUACGUG